AGCGAACGCUGGCGGCAGGCCUAACACGUGCAAGUCGAACGAACCUUUCGGGGUUAGUGGCGGACGGGUGAGUAACACGUGGGAACGUGCCUUUAGGUUCGGAAUAACUCAGGGAAACUUGUGCUAAUACCGAAUGUGCCCUUCGGGGGAAAGAUUUAUCGCCUUUAGAGCGGCCCGCGUCUGAUUAGCUAGUUGGUUGAGGUAAUGGCUCACCAAGGCGACGAUCAGUAGCUGGUCUGAGAGGAUGAUCAGCCACAUUGGGACUGAGACACGGCCCAAACUCCUACGGGAGGCAGCAGUGGGGAAUCUUGCGCAAUGGGCGAAAGCCUGACGAAGCCAUGCCGCGGGAAUGAUGAAGGUCUUAGGAUUGUAAAAUUCUUUCACCGGGGACGAUAAUGACGGUACCCGGAGAAGAAGCCCCGGCUAACUUCGUG
This 434-nucleotide ribosomal RNA is filed under the name uncultured bacterium. RNAcentral's name for it is "partial 16S ribosomal RNA". It matches the Rfam family "Bacterial small subunit ribosomal RNA", at positions 29 to 507 of the family's 1533-position model. The record is from RNAcentral.